GAUUCAAUUGACAAAAGAAAACAAUGGAUGAAUGGAUGUUGUUGGGGGUUUACAAUUUCAUCUAAUCCGCCCUCUCUUAUCUACUCCUCUUGAAUAUUAGUUUGAUUAAUUCAAUUGUUAUGCGACUUUCUUAGCCUACCCUUAACCCGAUCCCUAGGCGAAAAGAGCCUAACAUUAACUACUAGCUUGCUAUCCCUAGCCUCCCCUAGUAAUCAAUACCGCAUUAUAAACGGAAGUUAACGCAAUUGAUCGUCCUACCCCUAUCCCUAGGUGGUAUUGCAAAAUCAAGAAAUUACUCACCAGUUCAUGUCAUUACUGUACGUCCCCAUAUCAAUAAGGACAAACAUCAGUUACCGAAUGAGUUAAACGAUAAGGGCCUUAAGC
This 384-nucleotide long non-coding RNA is filed under the name Vigna radiata. RNAcentral describes it as "long non-coding RNA (VRAD_LNC015048)". The record is from RNAcentral. Lineage: Eukaryota; Viridiplantae; Streptophyta; Magnoliopsida; Fabales; Fabaceae.